This 254-nucleotide ribosomal RNA is filed under the name uncultured bacterium. Its description in RNAcentral is "partial 16S ribosomal RNA". It matches the Rfam family "Bacterial small subunit ribosomal RNA", at positions 524 to 776 of the family's 1533-position model. The record is from RNAcentral.
GACGUAGGGCGCGAGCGUUGUCCGGAAUUAUUGGGCGUAAAGAGCUCGUAGGCGGCUUGUCGCGUCGACUGUGAAAACCCGUGGCUCAACCAUGUGGUCUGCAGUCGAUACGGGCAGGCUAGAAUUCGGUAGGGGAGACUGGAAUUCCUGGUGUAGCGGUGAAAUGCGCAGAUAUCAGGAAGAACACCCGUGGCUAAGGCGGCUCUCUAGUACGGUACUGACGCUGAGACGCGAAAGCGUGGGGAGCGAACAGG